Juglans microcarpa x Juglans regia is the source of this 430-nucleotide long non-coding RNA. RefSeq lists it as uncharacterized. The record is from RefSeq and is a predicted model, not a curated record. NCBI's taxonomy places the organism in Eukaryota, Viridiplantae, Streptophyta, Magnoliopsida, Fagales, Juglandaceae. The transcript is spliced from 3 exons.
UCAUCCACCCCUUAGUUUUAAAUCUUUAUAUUAUUAUUAUUACUACUGCUACUGCUACUAAAAAAUAACACCUUCAAAUGUACCUCUUUUUCGCCCUCUGUAGUAUUAUUACUCGAUAUAUGAAAAAUGAGUCGCUAUUUCUUGAAAUGCUUAUAAAAUCUGGUUUGUGCAGUACAUUCCCGGAACAAAGAUGGUUUUUCCUGGAUUAAAGAAGCCACAAGAGCGUGCAGACCUCAUUGCUCAUCUGAAGGAAGCAACUUCCUGAUCUUUUUGACGACUUAGGUUACCUUUGUAUAUUCUAAUGUUUUCUCAAUAUUUGAGGAAGAAAUUUUGUGCAGGGUAAAUUUAUCUGAUGUGGCAUUUCAGGAGCUAUUUAUGUUUUUUUUUUUUUUUAAUAUAAUUAAGAUCCAACGUGUGACGGUUGAGUGUU